GUUAAGGUGGCAGAGCCCGGUAAUUGCGUAAAUCUUAAACCUUUAUACUCAGAGAUUCAAAUCCUCUCCUUAACA
This 75-nucleotide transfer RNA is filed under the name Oreamnos americanus (mountain goat). RNAcentral describes it as "tRNA-Leu". It matches the Rfam family "tRNA". From Rfam's summary of the family: Transfer RNA (tRNA) molecules are approximately 80 nucleotides in length. Their secondary structure includes four short double-helical elements and three loops (D, anti-codon, and T loops). The record is from RNAcentral. Lineage: Eukaryota; Metazoa; Chordata; Mammalia; Artiodactyla; Bovidae.